UGAACUAUAGCUUAACUGGUAGAGCCUUUGGCGCGUAACCAAACGAUCCGGGUUCGAGUCCCGGUCUGGGCUGUCUGAA
RNAcentral lists this transfer RNA (79 nucleotides) under Cotesia glomerata. Its description in RNAcentral is "tRNA-Thr". The stretch from base 7 to 65 matches the Rfam family "tRNA", at positions 7 to 64 of the family's 71-position model. From Rfam's summary of the family: Transfer RNA (tRNA) molecules are approximately 80 nucleotides in length. The record is from RNAcentral. Lineage: Eukaryota; Metazoa; Arthropoda; Insecta; Hymenoptera; Braconidae.